UGGGGAAUAUUGGACAAUGGGCGAAAGCCUGAUCCAGCCAUGCCGCGUGUGUGAAGAAGGUCUUCGGAUUGUAAAGCACUUUAAGUUGGGAGGAAGGGUUGUAGAUUAAUACUCUGCAAUUUUGACGUUACCGACAGAAUAAGCACCGGCUAACUCUGUGCCAGCAGCCGCGGUAAUACAGAGGGUGCAAGCGUUAAUCGGAAUUACUGGGCGUAAAGCGCGCGUAGGUGGUUUGUUAAGUUGGAUGUGAAAUCCCCGGGCUCAACCUGGGAACUGCAUUCAAAACUGACUGACUAGAGUAUGGUAGAGGGUGGUGGAAUUUCCUGUGUAGCGGUGAAAUGCGUAGAUAUAGGAAGGAACACCAGUGGCGAAGGCGACCACCUGGACUGAUACUGACACUGAGGUGCGAAAGCGUGGGGAGCAAACAGGAUUAGAUACCCUAGUAGUCCCUGAGCGGGCUGGCAAGGCGCAU
Molecule: ribosomal RNA, 472 nt
Filed under: uncultured bacterium
Lineage: Bacteria
Description: bacterial SSU rRNA
Rfam family: Bacterial small subunit ribosomal RNA
Source: RNAcentral